GACGAACCGUGCGAACGUUGUUCGGAAUCACUGGGCUUAAAGGGCGCGUAGGCGGGUUCUCAAGUCAGGGGUGAAAUCUUUCAGCUUAACUGGAAAAGUGCCCCUGAUACUGAGAGUCUCGAGGGAGGUAGGGGCAUGUGGAACUAAUGGUGGAGCGGUGAAAUGCGUAGAUAUCAUUAGGAACGCCGGUGGCGAAAGCGACGUGCUGGACCUCUUCUGACGCUGAGGCGCGAAAGCUAGGGGAGCAAACGGG
Molecule: ribosomal RNA, 253 nt
Filed under: uncultured bacterium
Lineage: Bacteria
Description: partial 16S ribosomal RNA
Rfam family: Bacterial small subunit ribosomal RNA
Source: RNAcentral